Molecule: ribosomal RNA, 450 nt
Filed under: uncultured bacterium
Lineage: Bacteria
Description: bacterial SSU rRNA
Rfam family: Bacterial small subunit ribosomal RNA
Source: RNAcentral
AUUGAACGCUGGCGGCAUGCCUUACACAUGCAAGUCGAACGGCAGCGGACCUUCGGGUGCCGGCGAGUGGCGAACGGGUGAGUAAUAUAUCGGAACGUACCUUUCAGUGGGGGAUAACGUAGCGAAAGUUACGCUAAUACCGCAUAUUCUGUGAGCAGGAAAGCAGGGGAUCGCAAGACCUUGCGCUGAUUGAGCGGCCGAUAUCAGAUUAGCUAGUUGGUGAGGUAAAGGCUCACCAAGGCGACGAUCUGUAGUGGGUCUGAGAGGAUGAUCCGCCACACUGGAACUGAGACACGGUCCAGACUCCUACGGGAGGCAGCAGUGGGGAAUUUUGGACAAUGGGCGCAAGCCUGAUCCAGCCAUGCCGCGUGAGUGAAGAAGGCCUCGGUUGUAAGUCUACUUUCGGUCCGGGUAACGGAAAGUACGCGACACGGUUAAGUAACCCUACGU